GACUGCUCCUAUUAUUUUGGUACAAAAUGAAGGUUGUGUGCAUCAUUUUGAUGGACAGGCCAGGGGCUCGUCUCCUUUUCAGAGAAAAAACAACUUGAUUGCUCCUACUUUCAGUAGGCAACAUCUGUGCUACUACAUAACUAAGAGCACUUCAGUGCUUUUCCCACAAAAACAAAAACUGAGAGCACUUCUAUAAAAAAUGGCGGAUGGUAGCUCAACAGGCAACACACAUUUUUUUACAUCGCUUCACUGCUUCAAAGAAUGAAUUGCUGCCGUGUUCACCAUGCCAAGAACUCUUUUGAUGCAAACAACAUAGGGCGACUAACCACCAAAACCUGAAUCAGUAUAAAGCAAGUCGUACAUGGAACGUGUUACAACGGCCAGGGAUUGGCAACUGGCAUGGACAUGAUGGUCAUCAAACUGAGGCUAAAACCUGCAUGAAAAAACUUUAAAAGGAUUAUGGACGCACAGAUCAAAGGCGAAUUGGGAACCAUGCAGCUUAAUUGGAUGCCAAUUAAAGGCCCAUACUCUAUAUCCAUCUGAAUCCUUUUUUAGAUAACAAACACCAAACUAUGGCAAAAAUCAGUAAUUGACGACACAAACAUUCCUUGUACUAAGACCUUGAUGCAUCAUACCAUAAAUUUACACCAUAGGAAAAUAAAUAUAUCUAUGAAUGGAAUAUACCGAUCGGCAAAAACUCAAGUUAGUAAGAUGAAGUAAACAGAACCGGAUUCCUAAACCAGAGUGUCAAAUUUUCACACAAAUUACUUAGUACUCCCUCCGUUCCUAAAUAUAAGUCUUUCUAGAUAUUUUACUAUGUGACUACAUACGAAGCAGAAUGAGUGAAUCUACACUCUAAAAUAUGUCUACAUACAUCCGUAUGUUGUUUUUUAUUUGAAAUGUCUAAAAAGACUUACAUUUAGGAACGGAGGGAGUACUAUUUAGACACCUAUUUUCUCGAUCGAUACUUCAACCCUUUCAUAUUCUAGCAACCAAGAAACUACAUAAAAUUGGGACCUCCCCAUGGUCUGGCUCCUCCAGAGUACCAGCUCCUCAUCGUUCUCAUUCUGCGCAGGCGUUGUCUGCCAAGGUGGCAUCAACUCCACGGUUGGCUCCUCCAAGCUCAACGACAGUCAGCCCAAUUAAAAAUUGAAGAAGAAUCUUGUUGGUUAUACAUGACAACUACAACAACAAUAAUUAGACAUACAAGACCACCAUUGAAAAACUUCGGAACACCUACUUGUUUUAUGUGGGUAUAUAAGCUCUCACAUUCCACAUUACAAGUCAGAAAACAAAAAAUGAUCACGGGUUUCUGUUUCCAGUUUGCAAGAUAUAAGCUUUUAUAAAACUGUUUAUUAUCGCUACAUUGUUUCUCUGCAAGCAAGAAUACAUAAAUCGGAAGAAAUAUAUCUGCUCAUACUAUAACUGAUUUUCUUUUCUUCCCUAGAAAAUAUAUGCAUAAAUGUGAAGAGAAUAUAGUUCAAGGUAAUAUGUGUGAUCAUUGUUCCAUAUAUACAUAGUUAAGAGGAGAAACAACUUAUACCACCUAUAAAUUUGUUCUGUACAACAAUUCUACAGUGCAAGACAAUCAAAGAGGAUGAUGCUCCCAAUGCAGUUAGGCAUAGUGAGAGCCACAAUCAUAGUAUUGAAACGAAUUGCCUAUAAAUACAUGAAACUCGUGGAUAAAAUUGACAAACAAUGAAACUCUGUGAAUUCAGAAUAAGCAAGUAUCUCUAACUGUUGGUAAAAUCAUAAUUGACCUCCUUCAGUGAGCUGCUCACGAAACAUUCAUUCAUAUCUACUAUCUUCUAUUUAGUCAAAAGUUGAAUGCUUGAAAAAAAUAAGUAUUGAACAAUCAGUGUUAUAUUUUUAAGAAUUUAGUCAAAAUUGAUCCUGUGUAUACCCUUCUUCCCAACCGUGCUUGAGAACUACUGUAUUACAUAGUUGACGUGUUACGUAGAUGUGUAGCUGAACCUGUGCUGGAGGCCGAGACUUUGCCCGAAAACUCCAUGGAUGGUCGGAGGACGUGAUCCCAGGAGAACAAAGUUGUCUGGUCUUUAUCGCCAAAGCUUCUCUCUGAGUCGCGAGUUGUAGCAUGCCCGCACCCGACCUCAAAAACCUGCAAAACAAAACAGGGGAAGAUAAAAGUAGGGGGAGCACGAACUGAGAGGGAGAGGAUUGGGCCGUGGCCGGUUACCAGAUCGGCGCCACGUCGGCCUGACGAUACGAGCCCAACGGCGGCGACCCCUGGGAUGCCAGGAGCUCAAGCCCACGCCCUCCUCGACGGUCGAAGGCGAAGCUGCUUCGAAUCCUUUGGUCGCCCGCUUCGGCGGGCUCGGUCCAUCGCGAGUGGCAGGCUGCAGAGGGAACAAAGCGCCAUCGAUGGUGACGGAUUUGGAUGCCGAUCUCACAAAGCGCCGGAUUCGGUAGCGAGACUGUGGAGGCGAGCAGAUCGGGAGGAGUAGGGCCAGGGCAAAGGGUUGGCGUGGGUUCGUUUGGGAGCGAGAGAGAGCGAGAUCGCGUUGACUCACGUUCAGUUUUUUUUUUCAGCGGAAA
This 2556-nucleotide long non-coding RNA is filed under the name Triticum aestivum (bread wheat). Its description in RNAcentral is "long non-coding RNA (TAES_LNC023064)". Lineage: Eukaryota; Viridiplantae; Streptophyta; Magnoliopsida; Poales; Poaceae. The record is from RNAcentral.